GGAUGCUGUCCGGCUGGUCGAGGAAACUGUCCUGAAAACAGCUGGGGUGUUAUAGCCCUCGGGGGUUCGAGUCCCUCAGCAUCCGCCA
This 88-nucleotide transfer RNA is filed under the name Nitrosomonadaceae bacterium. RNAcentral describes it as "tRNA-Ser". It matches the Rfam family "tRNA". Rfam says of the family: Transfer RNA (tRNA) molecules are approximately 80 nucleotides in length. Their secondary structure includes four short double-helical elements and three loops (D, anti-codon, and T loops). Lineage: Bacteria; Pseudomonadati; Pseudomonadota; Betaproteobacteria; Nitrosomonadales; Nitrosomonadaceae. The record is from RNAcentral.